GAUGAACGCUGGCGGCGUGCCUAAUACAUGCAAGUCGAGCGAACGGACGAGAAGCUUGCUUUUCUGAUGUUAGCGGCGGACGGGUGAGUAACACGUGGAUAACCUACCUAUAAGACUGGGAUAACUUCGGGAAACCGGAGCUAAUACCGGAUAAUAUUUUGAACCGCAUGGUUCAAAAGUGAAAGACGGUCUUGCUGUCACUUAUAGCUGGAUCCGCGCUGCAUUAGCUAGUUGGUAAGGUAACGGCUUACCAAGGCAACGAUGCAUAGCCGACCUGAGAGGGUGAUCGGCCACACUGGAACUGAGACACGGUCCAGACUCCUACGGGAGGCAGCAGUAGGGAAUAUUCCGCAAUGGGCGAAAGCCUGACGGAGCAACGCCGCGUGAGUGAUGAAGGUCUUCGGAUCGUAAAACUCUGUUAUUAGGGAAGAACAUAUGUGUAAGUAACUGUGCACAUCUUGACGGUACCUAAUCAGAAAGCCACGGCUAACUACGUG
RNAcentral lists this ribosomal RNA (497 nucleotides) under uncultured bacterium. RNAcentral's name for it is "partial 16S ribosomal RNA". It matches the Rfam family "Bacterial small subunit ribosomal RNA", at positions 28 to 507 of the family's 1533-position model. The record is from RNAcentral.